RNAcentral lists this long non-coding RNA (36685 nucleotides) under Lynx pardinus (Iberian lynx). The stretch from base 17809 to 17894 matches the Rfam family "tRNA". The record is from RNAcentral. Lineage: Eukaryota; Metazoa; Chordata; Mammalia; Carnivora; Felidae.
CCACACCCAAGGUGGGGCUCGAACUCAUGACUCUGAGAUCAAGAGUUGCAUGCUGUUUUGACUGAGUCAGCCAGGCAUCGCAAGACAGACAUCUGAGUGCUUAUUUCACCUGUAACAUGGGCCUGGAAGAUUGGCAUGAGUUGUUAAAAUAACGUGUGUCCACUACAAUGCCAGCCACAGGGUAAGUGUAUCUGAGCUGGGGGACUGGAUGGCGGGGGUGGGGGCUGGAGGGGGCGUUUAAUGGGUAGGAGGCACUGCACUUAGAUGGGGCGCCUGGGAGACUCAGUCUCUUAAGCAUCCUACUUUGCCUCAGGUCUUGAUCUCACAGUUCAUGAGUUCGAGCCCUCAUUGGGCUCUAUGCUGACAGCUCAGAACCUGGAGCCUGUUUCAGAUUCUGUAUCUCCCCCCCCUGCCCCUCCCCCACUCUCAAAAAUAAACAUUUUAAAAAAGAAAGAAAGAAAGACAGACAUUGAAUAGCUUGUGAUAUUUAUUCAUGAUUAAGAAAGAAUGAAAACAGGGGCGCCUGAGUGGCUCAGUGGGUUGAGCGUUCAACUUAGGCUCAGGUCACGAUCUCGUGAGUUCAAGCCCUGCCGUCAGGCUCUGUGCUGACAGCUCAAAGCCUGGAGCCUGCCUCACAUUCUGUCUCCCUCUCUCUCUGCCCCUCUCCCGCUCACACUCCACUCUGUCUCUCUUUCUCUCUCUCUCAAAGAUAAACAUUUAAAAAUUAAAAAAAAAAGAAAAAAGAAUGAAAACAAAUGACUUACACAUUCAGUUCUUGUAGUUAGAAAAAGGCCAUCAAAAUAACCCAAGGAAAGCCAAGGAAGGGAUUACGUAAGGAAAAAGAACACAAACGAAAGGAGUGGAAAACUUACAAAACAGAAGUGACAAAAGAAGGGAAAAGUCUGCACAAGUCCAAGUGGGGAAACACUAGAAAACCUGAAGGUGUAGAGAAAGUACUUCUAAUCUCCAACGCCGGGAACAUUUGAGCUUUUAGCUGCAAAAGGGCCCUAAAAGAAAAUCUUGAGGAAGUUUGGCUUAGGAAAAAAAAAAAAAUGUUUAGACAAACAAACAAAACAGCAGAGGAAUCAUCCUGUCAUCGGGGAGAAAAAGAGCUGAGUGUUGUGGUCACAUCAACAGGUCCCACAAAGCUGUCGACUAAUUGCAGCUUUGCUAAAGUUCGUUGAUGACAAAUGAGUAAGUAAGUGCCGAGCUGUGGGAGGUGUCUGGGCGGCUGGGCCUAACACGGGCAUUUCUCCAUACAUAGGCAUUCGCGGGGCCUAGUGCGGUAAGGGCUCUGAGUUCACGGUAAUACCUCAGAGGAUGGACGUGGACAAGAGAUUCAGGAAGGGCUUGUGUGCUGGGGCUUGCCUUCUAGGAAUCCUGCAGAAGUCAGGGUCUGAAGAAGGCUGAGAUAGACCCUGUGGCGGGACGCCGGGCCGUCACAGUCAUUCUGGCCUGGAAAAGCUGAGCCGGUGAUGAGGGAGCAUCAGGCGAGCCGAGGGGGGAAGCACAAGCUGGCAUCCCCCCCCCCCUCCCCCCCCCCGGUUGGAUACUGGUGGCAUUCCUCAGGCACCUUGGCUGCCCAAGGACAAAGGGGAGGAAAGAAAACAAAUAGUUAACUGAUGGAGACCCCAGUCCUGCAGACUGGAGUCUCCAUCAGUUUGCAAAUAUCUUAGUAAAUUCCAAGAAAAAGGCAAUCUUAUCAACAGCCUAAUCUCCAGAAACCUCAUAUCCUGGAGCCCCAACGUCACCCUCCCGUCCACAGUGAUGUGGGAACAAAGGCAAGAAGGAAAUGGCAGGUAAGAUUAAACUUCCUUAUAACCUGCAGCCCAUUGGCAAAUACUUGAGGCACACACAGAGUAGAACAUUUCUCCAGAAACCCCCUGCUGUCCUGAUGUUAAUGCCUUACUAGAGGGAAAACCACCUUUGCUUGAAGACAGCAAGGCCUCAGGUGUCCUGGGAGUCCUCCUUAGCACAUCACAGUCCCUCUGGAGGCCUCCCAUUUGACUCUGUCUCCCCAACUCCAUAGUUGGUCACUCUGCACAACCCUCGUGCAGCUCUUUCUGUCCAUGAAUCCUAUCCCUGUGCUUUAAUAAAAUGGCCAUUUAAAAAAAAAUUUAAAAAAAAUUUUGUUUUGACAUUUGCUCAUUUUAGAGAGACAGAGCAUGAGUAGGGGAGGGGCAGAGAGAGAAGGAGACACAGAAUCCGAAGCAGGCUCCAGGCCCCAGGCUGUCAGCACAGAGCCCGAUGUGGGGCUCAAACUCACGAACUGUGAGAUCAUGACCUGAGCCGAAGUCGGACGUUUAACUGACUGAGCUACCCAGGCGCCCCAGUAAAAUCACCCUUUUGCACCAAAGACGUCUCAAGAAUUCUUUCUUGGCUGUUAACUCCGAACCCCCACCAGCCCAAGACCUCAUCACUGCCACUUGUGGCCACAUGGAUGAACCCAGGGAUAGGUGGAUUAGAGAGUGGACGAAAAGUGCCCCCCCCCCACCAGCUGCUAGAAGAACAGAAUUGUCAUUAACUGAGAUGAUUGGGAGGACCGUAAGGGAAACAGAUUUGGGGGAGAAUAUUAGAGUUGUUUUGGGAUACAUUAAAUUGGUAAUAUCUUUGAGACGUCCAGUGGGAGUUGAUAAGGAAGCAGUUAGGUGUACAGAUUUUGAGUAUGUAGUGCAGGUCUGGGCUGAGAUACAAAAUUUGGGAAUGUUUAUUUAUUUAAGUUUGAGGGGGCGGAUUGCAGGGGAAGGGCAGAGAGAGAGAGAGAGAGAGAGAAUCCCAAGCAGGCUCCGUGCUCAGCGAGGAGCCUGACAUCGGGCUCCAUCCCUGGGAUUAUGACUUGAGCCGAAACCAAGAGUCUGACGUGUAACCGUGUCACCAACUAAGCCACCCAGGCGCCCCGGGAGUCAUCCUUUAAAUUCUGAACAUAGUAUAAACUCACUAGGGGGGUGAAUUUAGAUGAGAGGAAUCUGAAAUCUGAGUUCUGGAGUCCCCCCACUUUCUAGGCUGAGGAGGCAACACUGAGGGAGCCUGAGGGGGAAGGUAAGUUAGUUAGGGUGAGUGUGGGGUCAGCUGGAAGUCAGCCAGUUGUGUUCCAAGGAGGGAGUAAUUAAGUGAGUCAAAUUCUACUGACAGGUAGGACUGAGAACUGCCUGAAAAUUAUUUCUAAUUGCACAAAACAAACCCCCUAUGAAAUAGGUUAUUUUUUAUUUUCAAUGUAUAGUUGAAAAAAUCUGGAGAUGGUUUUGCCCCCAGAUCCCAUAGCUACUCAGGAACAGAAUUAGUGAUUCACAAUGCUAGAUGAAGUUUACAUAAUGCUUUCUGUCCGAGGAAACGUCUGUGAGUAGAAUUCAACUUAUCCAGGACAAGAACAUCAGGGGAAAAAGAAAGAGAAGGUCUCAACUAAAGUAGGGUUAUGGACCCUACAGAGGAGGCAGAAGUCAGAAAAUACAAGGCCAUGUUGUUGUUGUUGUUUUUUAAAUGUUUGUUUAUUUUUGAGAGAAUGACAGAGAGAGAGUGAGGGAGGGGCAGAGAGAGAGGGAGACACAGAAUCCGAAGCGGGCUCCAGGCUCUGAGCUAUCAGCACAGAGCCCGUUGCGGGGUUGAACUCGUGAACCGUGAGAUCAUGACCUGAGUCGAAGUUGAACGCUAACCGACUGAGCCACCCAGGCGGCCCAAGCCCAUAUUUUUUUUUAAAGCACUUUGCAAAAGCAACAGAAGAAGGAGCCUUGGAAAAUUAAAUCAAUGAGAAUAUUUGGGAAAGCUCUGAGAAAGAAGAAAAUGAGGCCAGCCCUACUAGUCAUUAAAACAUAAAAGACUUAGGGUUCCUGGGUGGCCCAGUCGGUUAAGCGGUUGACUCGGGCUUAGGUCAUGAUCUCAGGGUUUGUGGGUUCGAGCACCACAUUAGGCUCUGUGCUGACAGCUCGGAGCCUGGAGCCUGCUUCGGAUUCUGUGUCUCCCUCUCUCUCUCUGCCCUCCCCCACUCAUACUCCGUCUCUCUCUCAAAAGUAAAUAAACAUUUAAAAAAAUUAAAAAAAAACAUUAUAAGCUUGUACAAUAAGAUUAUGGUAUUGGGGCAUGAAUACAUAGAUCAAUGAAACAGAGUAGAAAAUCCAAAAAUAAUUACAUCUGGAAAUUGAAUAUGUGAUAAAGCUGGCAUCUGAAAUCAAUGGAGGAAAAAGUCCUUCUUUGUAAAUAGUAUUGGGGUAAAUAGAUAGCCAGACAGUCAUAUCCGUUUCUCUACACAAGAUGAAUUCCGGAUGGGUCAAAGAUUUAAAAACUUCUUAAAGAAACAAAGCUGUAUAAUUACUAGAAGGAAGUAAGAGCGGAUUCCUCCGUAAUUAAGGAAUUGGGGAAACUUCCUGAACUCAAAAUCCGGAGGCAAUUAAGGAAAAGACUGAAAUUUGGACUAUACAAAACAACAGUGACAGUAAAAUUUUUGCGUUAGCGAAACACAUCAUAAGCAAAAUAAAAAGACAAGUUAAAAACUGCGAUAGGUAUUUCUGACUUACAAAGGAUUAAUGGUGUCUGAUUGUGUUCUGGAGAGCAAGGAGGACUCCUGGUUCAGUCUUUGCCAAUUGCCAUGGUGUAAACCCUCCCACCACAGUAGAUUUUAAGUUGCCAAAAUGCGCUCACCUGCACCCAUGUGACAUCAGCUGGGUCACAAAAUUCCUGACGAUUUAACAAUCGGUGCUUGUAGGCAGGCUCUCAGCACAUCACCAUCAGUAUCCUUCAUAAAUAUACGAAGGGCUUCAUCACUUGGAGAAGAAAAGGAAAACCAUCACCUUGUGGAAAAUAGACAGGAGAUAUACACACACAAUUCACACACACACAAUAAUGAAAAUAAAGGACCUUUAAAUAUGUGAAAAGAUGUACAGUCACACUUAAAGGAAAUGCAAAUGAAAAGUGCACGAAGAUACUAUUCCCCAACUCUCAGGUUGGCAGAAAUCUAAAAGUUUAGACAGCAAAACGUGUUGACAAAGCAGUCAGGGAACAAGCACUUUAAUUUUUUGCUGGUGGGAACGCAAAAAUGGUAUAAUCCAGGGGGAGGGGAAUUUGGCACUAUCUAGUAAAAUUGCAUAGAUAUUAACUUGUCGAUCCAAAUAUCUCACUUUUAGGCCUCAAGCCUAAAGAUCCACUGACAAAAAUACAAAAAGAUACAUAAGGUUGCUCAGUGACCACUGUUUGCAAAACCAAAAAAGUGGAAACAACUUCAACGAUCAUCCAUCACAGAAUGCUUUCAUAAACUAGGACCCGUUCACAUACUAGAAUUAGUACAUAGCUCUAAAAACAAGUAAGAAAUACCUCUAUGUACUGCUAUGACAUGAUAUCCAGUGAAAAAAAGCAGGAUUGCCAAACUAAGGUAAUAUACUACCAUUUAACUAAAAGAGGAAGAGGAAAUGAAUAUCCCGUAUUUUAAGAUUUCAUCUUUUAGUAAUCUCUACACCCAACAAACGUGGGACUCGAAUUUACAACGUUGAGAUUAAGAAUUGUAUGCUCCACUGACUGAGCCAGGCAGGCGCCCCUACCUUAAAUAUUUUUUAAAAAUACAUAAGGGGUCCCUGGCUGGCUUAGUCAGUAGAGCGUGCAACUCAGGGUCAUGAGUUCGAGCCCCACCUUGGGCACAGAGAUUACUUAAAAAAAAGAAAGAAAGAAAGAAAAAAAAAGAAAGAAAAGAAAGAAAGAAAGAAAGAAAGAAAGAAAGAAAAAAAUUGAAGUAGAAAGAUAAAAACAAAGUUAAAAGAACAAAUUAAAAAACAAAAAAUGCUGAUUACCUCUGGGGGGAGGGAAUGGAGCAGAGAGAUAGAGACGGAGAUCAGACUUCUCUCUGAUUAUGGUUUAACGGUUUGACUUUGUUAGUUAUGCAACAAGAUUUAAUUUUUCAAAAAUAUUUUCAAAAGCAAGACCUACAAGUCAAAGGCAAAAAUGAAACAAAUGAACUUGGUUGUGUAAUGACCUUGUUCUAUUUUUAUAAAUUGCUACUGCUCUUGUUUUAUCUUUUUUUAAUGUUUAUUUAUUUUUUGAGAGAGAGAUACAGUGCGAGCAGGGGAGGGGCAGAGAGAGAGACACACACACACACAAUCCAAAGCAGGCUCCAGGCUCCGAGCUGUUGGCACAGAGCCUGAUGCGGGGCUCGAACUCACGAACUGUGAGAUCAUGACCUGAGCUGAAGUCAGCCGCUUAACCAACUGAGCCACCCAGGCACCCGCUACUGCUCUUUGAAUAAUAUGUAGAAAUAUGAGUAGCUUCCUUUGCUCUGAGGUAACCCAUGUUCUGAAGUUUUCUCCUGGAAUUUUCUAUACUGUCUCACAUAUCUAACUCUGGAGUUCCUUCCAGGUGACAAAUACCAUAACCUUGCUGGAGGGACAUACUUCCCAGCCUAUUUUCUCCUAGCCAGAGACAUCUCCUGUCCUUUGAGACAAAACUACUCCCAUCACAGCACUGACUUCCCUUCAGAAACAAGACACUGUGUUAUUCUCCUAAUAAUCCCCCUUCACUGCUGGAGCCGUGGUCCAUCCAGGGUAUGUCUGUCCCAGGACCGAGGGAUAAGGUAAUCAUACACCCAUGAGGGUCAUUCUUCUCCUCGAAAUUCGAGUUUCCUGGAUCACAGGAUUUGUAGUUGCAAGUAGCUAAGUUCGACUCUCACAGGUUGGGGGACCUCAAACAAAAUAAUUAACUUCUCUUCGCUUCAGUCCCCUCAUUUUUGAAACAGGGGAAAGGUAACACCAAUCUUUUGGGGUCGCUGUGAGAUUUGAAUAAGAUGUAAAAUUUCAGGCAUAAGCUUGGUGCUUCCCUCCUUUCUCCUCCCUCUGCUUCCCUUCUCUUAUUUCCCACCUUCUUUUUAUUCAGUCUUCUCUCCACAUCCUUCUUUCAUAAAAUGAACAAGACUAAGAGACUUUGAAGAUUCUUUUCAAACCCUGAGAUCAGAAACACUGACGGGGUGCAGUGCAUUUAGAUGGGGGCUUGGCUGUUGAGGAUUAGAAAUCCAAAAAUGCGCAUAGUAGAGAUGAGUUAGAGGCUGGUAGCGACUUCAUGCAGAAGUUUAAGAUCUAAUACAAGGGAAAGGGUUCCUGGGUGGAACUAUUUUAGGGUCUCAGUAAUAUUAGAAAUUCUGAAGAGUUAAGAGCGCCAAGGUGGCUCAGUCGGUUAAGUGUCUGACUUCAAUUCAAGUCAUGAACCUGUGGUUCGUGGGUUUGAGCCCCACAUGGGGCUCUGUGCUGACAGCUCAGAGCCUGGAGACUGCUUCUGAUUCUGUGUCUCCCUCUCUCUCUGCCCCUUCCCCACUCAUGCUCUGUCUCUCUCUGUCUCUCAAAAAUGAGUAAGUGUUAAAAAAUACUUAAAAAGAAAAGAAAUUCUGAAGAUUUGUCCAAAUGAGGGGAGGAAAUAGAGAAGUGAGUGAAGGAGGUAGGGAAAAAGAAAAAUUGGAAAGUAAGAAGGUUAAGAUAAAGUCAGAUCACACAAGUGUUGGUGAAGAUGUGGAGGAAUUGGGAUUCUCAUGCACUUCCAGCGGAAAUGUAAAAUGGUGCAGUAAUUUGAGAACAAUCCGGCGAUUUCUCAGUGAAACAUAGUGUUACCAUAUAACCCAGUUACACUGCUAGGUAUAUACCCCAGGGAACUGAAAACUUAGGUCUACACAAAAACUUGUACGUGAGUGUUCAUAGCAACAUCGUUCAUAAUACCCAAAAGGUGGAAACAACUCAAACCUCCUUCGACAGAUGAAUAGAUAAACAGAAUGUAGUAUAUUCAUACAAUGGAAUUUCACUUUCCCAAAGAAGACAUACAGAUGGCCAACAGGUACAUGAAAUGAUGCUCAACAUCAUUAAUCGUCAGGGGAGUGCAAAUCAAAACCAUGGUGAGAUACCACCCAUACCUGUUAGAAUGGCUAUAACGUGAAUGGCUAAAGACCAGAAAUAGUAAAUGUUGGCGGGGAUGUGGAGAAAAGGGAACCCUCGUGCCUCACUGGUGGGAAUGUAAAUUGGCUCAGCCACUCUGAAAACCACUAUGGAUUUUUCUCAAGAUAUUAAAAAUAGAACUACCAUAUGAUCCAGCAACUCCACAUUUGGGUAUUGGUCAGAAGAAAACGAAAACCCUAAUUCGAAAGGAUACGUGGACCUUCAUGUUCACUGCAGCAUUAGUUACCAUAGCUAGGAUAUGGAAACAACCUAAUUGUCCAUCGAUGGAUGAAUGGAUAAGGAAAUUGUGGUGUAUGCAAUGGAAUGUGGUAUAUACCAAGAAAUGUGACUUAGCCAUCAAAAAGAAUAAAUCCUGGGGCGCCUGGGUGGCUCAGUCGGUUGAGCGUCCGACUUCAGCUCGGGUCAUGAUCUCACAGUCUGUGAGUUCGAGCCCUGUGUCGGGCUCUGUGCUGCCAGCUCAGAGCCCGGAGCCUGUUUCAGAUUCUGUGUCUCCCGGAGCCUGUUUCAGAUUCUGUGUCUCCCUCUCUCUCUGCGCCUCCCCCGUUCAUGCUCUGUCUCUCUCUGUCUCAAAAAUAAAUGUUAAAAAAAAAAAAAAAAAAAGAAUAAAUCCUUGCCAUUUACUGCAACAUUGAUGGACUUUGAGGGCAUUAUGCUAAGUGAAAUAAGUCAGAGAGAGACAAAUACCAUGCUUCUCUUUUCUAUGUGGAGUCUCACACAACAUCAACAACAAGCCAAGCUCCUAGACACAGAGUACAGACUGCUGAUAGCUGCCAGAGGCAAGGGUGGAGAGUGGGAGAAAUGAGAGAAAGGGGUCAAAAGGUUAAAAAGAAGAAGAAAAGGGAAAAGAGAGAGAGAGAGAGAAAUUUGCCUUCCUGAUUAAAAAACAAAACUCCCAAAACAAAAAAUACCCUUCAAAGUGGGAUACACUGGUUAAGUCAAGUGUGGUCCAUCCGUAUGAUGAAAUGCCACCUAAUGGCAUUCAGAAGGAAGGAGGAAGAAAACAGAAUGAGGAAGCCUUUUUAUACUGACAACUAAAGUUUUCCAAGAUGUAAACAAAGUUAAUUAAUUAAAAAAAAAUAUGUAUAUAUAUAUGAUCUAUUGGGGUGAUAUAACUCUAAGAUGUUAAUGUAAUACGCAUAUAAGAUGUGGGGAAGUGUUAAAAUGAGAAAAUGUAGGAGAUCUCAAUAGGUAGAUAGAUAGAUAAUGUUCUUUUCAUUCACAUGUGAGAUAUUUACAGUGACCAUGUUCUGAGUCACAGCAGGAUUUAACAAGAUACCAAAGCAUACAGAACAAAAGAAAACAAGCCUAAAGCUAACAUCAUACUUAAUGGUGAAUAUAUUCUUCCGAAGGUAAGGAACAAGACAAAGAUGUCUACCCUCAUCGUGUCUCUUUCACAUUGUUCUGGAGGCAAUAAGGCAAGGAAGACUGGAAAGGAAGAAACACAACUGUCUCGUUCACAAAUGGGGUUGUAUGUGAAAAAUCCUAAGGAAUCUACAAAAAAGCUACUAGAUCUCUCUGCCCUUCCUCCACUCACGUUCUGUUUCUCUCUCUCUCUCCCCAAAAAUGAAUGAACGUUAAAAAAAAUUUUAAAAAGCCACUAGAACUAAUGAGUUCUAGUUGCAAGAUUCAGAGAAACAAUGGUAUUUCUAUACACUAGCAACAGACCAUUUCAAAUAAAAAGUUUUUGCAAUCAAAAAGAAUGAAAUCUUGCCAUUUGCAACAACGUGGAUGGAACUAGAGGGUAUUAUGCUAAGUGAGAUUAGUCAGAGAAAGACAAACAUCAUAUGACUUCACUCAUAUGUGGAAUUUAAGAUACGAAGCAGAUGAACAGAAGGGAAGGGAAGCAAAAAUAAUAUAAAAACAGGGAGGGGGACAAGACAUAAGAGACUCUUAGAUACAGAGAACAAACUGAAGGUUGCUGGAGGGGUUGUGGGUGGAGGGAUGGGCUAAAUGGGCAAGGGGCAUUAAAGAGGACACUUGCGAUGAGCACUGGGUGUUAUACAUAGGGGAUGAAUCACUGCGUUCUACUCCUGAAAUCGUUGCACUAUAUGCUAACUGACUUAGAUGUAAAAUAAAAAUAAAUAAAAAGCUUUUAAAAUGCCAUUUGAAGUAAUAUUUUUAAAAAAUACUUAUUUAUUUUGGGGAAAGCACAAGUGGGAGAGGGGAGAGAGAGGGGGACAGAGGAUCCAAAGCGGGCUCUGUGCUAACUGGCUGACGGCAGUGAGCCUGAUGUGGGGCUCGAACUCAUGAACCAUGAGAUCGUGACCUGAGCUGAAGUCCAACACUCAACAGACUAAGCCACCGUUGUGCCCCUGUAGUAACAUUAAAAUAAAUAUUAGGGGUAAAUCUAACAAACUGAAUGCAAAGACCGAAUAUUGAACAUUACAAAAUAUUUCCAAGAAAAAUUAUAGAAGACUUAAAUAAAUGGUUAGAUGUAUCGUGUUUAUGCAUAGAAACUCAUUAUUGUUAUGUCAAUUCUCCCCCAAAUCAUCUAUAGAUUUAACAUAGUCUUGGUCACGAUGUCAGUAGGUUGUUUGGGUUUGUUGUUUUUGUUUUUUUUUAAUAGAAAUUGAUGGGUUUAUUCUAAAAUUUGUGGAGAAAUAGAAUCUAGAUCAGCCAAAACAAACGUACGAAAGAAUAGGAAUGGAGAACUUUACCAGAUUUCAAGAUUUACUGUAAGGCUAUAGUAAUUAAGACAGCAUGGUGUUGAUGUAAAGAUAGGCAUAUGGAUGGGACAGAAUAGGGAGUCCAGAAAUAGACUUACAUAUAAUAAUGUCAAUUCAUUUUUUACAAAGAAGAAAAGGAUGGUCUUUUAAACAAUAUUGCUAGAGGAGCGACUGGGUGGUUCGGUUAGUAGAGCAUGGAACUCUUGAUCUUGGGGCUGUGAGUUUGAGCCCUAUGUUGGGUGUAGAGAUUACUUACAAAAAAUAAUAAUGUGGCUAGAAUAAUAGGAUAUCCUUGUGGAAAAACAUGAACUCAAUUCUUACCUCUCAUCAUAUGCCGUAAUUAAUUCAAAGUGGAUCAUAUGCCUCAAUGUAAAAGUUAAAAAUCAUAAAACUUUGCCUGGGUGGCGCAGUCGGUUAAGCGUCCGACUUCAGCCAGGUCACGAUCUCGCGGUCUGUGAGUUUGAGCCCCGUGUCAGGCUCUGGGCUGAUGGCUCAGAGCCUGGAGCCUCUUUCCGAUUCUGUGUCUCCCUCUCUCUCUGCCCCUCCCCCGUUCAUGCUCUGUCUCUCUCUGUCCCAAAAAUAAAUAAAAAACGUUGGAAAAAAAAACAACAACUUUGGGGCGCCUAGGUGGCUGAAUUGGUUAAGCAUCUGGCUCUUGAUUUCAGCUCAGGUCAUGACCUCACAGUGCGUGGGUUCGAGUCCCACAUCGGGCUCUGCACUAGGAGUGCAGAGGCCGCUUGGGAUUCUCUCUCCCUCUCUCUCUGCCCCUCCCCCGCUUGUGUGCUCUGUCCCUGUCUCUCUCAAAAUAAAUAAACUUUCAAAAAACUAUAAAACUUCUGAAAGAAAUGUAGGGGAAAACCUUUGUCAUUUUUGUUUAGGUAAAGAUUUCUUAGAACCCAAAAAGCAUGAACCGUAACAGAAAAACCUUAUAAAUUAGACUUUAUUAAAAAUAAAAACUUAGCAGGGUGCCUGGGUGGCUCAGUCGGUUAAGCAUCCGACUUCGGUUCAGGUCAUGAUCUCACAGUUCAUGAGUUUGAGCCCCGCAUCGGGCUGUGUGCUGACAGCUCAGAGCCUGGAGCCUGCUUCGGAUUCUGUGUCUUCCUCUCUCUCUGUCCCUCCCCUAUUCAUGCACGCACGCAUCUCUCUUUCUCUCUCUCUCUCUCUCCCUCUCUCUCUCAAAAAUAAACACAAAUAAAUAAGUAAAUAAAUAAAUAAAUAAAUAAAAACUAAAAACUUAGGCCCUUUGAAAGACAAUGUUCAGAAAACAUGAAGGUAAGACAGACUGGAAGAAAAUCUUUGCAAAACAUACACUGAAUGAAAUGCUUAUACCUAGGAUAGAUAAAGACCCCUUAACACCUCAAUAAUAACAAAACAGACAACCUGAUAACAAAAAGGGAAACAAAUGUGAACAAAUACUUCAUCAAAGAAGACAUGAUUAACACGUAGGCACUUGAAAGAUGCUUAACAUCAUCAGGAAAAUGUAGGGGUGCCUGGAUGGCUCAGUUGACUGAGCACUGGACUCUUGAUUUUGGCUUAGGUCAUGAUCCCAGGAUGGUGGGAUUGAGUCCUGCUCAUUAUGGAGCCUGCUUGAGGAUCUCUCUCUCCCUCUCUGUCUCUCCCUCUGGCCCUUUCUCCCACUUGAUCUCUCUCUCGCUCUCUGUCUCUCUCUCAAAAAAAAAAAAAAUUAAAAAAGAAAAGGAAAAUGUAAAAUAGUACCAUAAUUAGACACCAGUAUAUCCCACCAGGAUAGCUAAAACUAAAGCAAACAAAAAACAAAGCAAAGGCCUCACCAGGUAACGCCGAAUAUUGACGAGGAUGUGGGGCAACUACAGCUGAUGUCAACACAAAAUGAUGCAGCGACUCUGGAACACAGUUUGGCAAUUUCUUGUCAAGUUAAAUACACACCUACCACAAGACCAAGGAAUCUCUCUCAUAGGUGUUUACCCAAGAGAAAUGCCACCUGUAUUUCAGGAGAACCUAUACAGGAGAAGCGUAUCCUGUAUUAGUCUGCUCCAGUGGCCACAAAAUGCCAUAGACUGAGAGGCUUUACUUUUUGUUUUCUCACAGCUCUGGAGGCUGGGAGUCCAAGAUCAAGGUGUCGUCAGGAUUGACGUCCGGUGAGAGCCCUCCUCUGGGCUCGCACACGGCCACUUUCUCACCCUGUCCUCCCAUGGCCUCUGUUCCGUGCGUGCCAAACUAAUGCGUGUGACGUGUUCAUUUGUUUUUUCACUUUUCUGUUUCAUUUGAAAAAGCUGUAAUGAAUCUACAUACUUUUUAUCCAGUCAUAGAAUAAAACAAAUCCAAUCUAACAUCACUUCACUUUAUUUUAUCUGUUUACUUAUUUUAGAGAGAAUGUGUGUGUGAGCAGGGGAGAGGGGCAGAGAGAGAGAGAGAGAGAGAGAGAGAGAGAGAAUCUUAAGCAGGCUCCACACUUAGCUCAGAACCUGAUGCGGGGCUUGACCCCACGACCCUAGGAGCAUGACGUGAGCUGAAAUCAAGAGUCGGAUGCUCAACCUACUGAGCCACCCAGGUGCCCCCAUAACUUCACUUAAAAUAAGGGCAGUGGAUUUUUCUCAGUGUAUUUUUUUUUCAGCUUUACUGAGGCAUAAUUGAUAACAUCACCUUUUUAUUAUUCAUAUUGAUUCAUUUUUUUUGUUUGCUUGUUUCAGUUAGUACUUACGGAAGGUCAGCCAUGGUUUCAGGAACAUAGCGAUCAACACAGCAAAACCUCUACACUCUGGAGUCUUCCUUCUGGAGAGCAGAAGAGGGUAUUAAUGACUGCUGUGAACAGUAAUACCAAAUAAUAGUAAUUGAAGGAAAAUUUUAAUCUGUGAACAAUUCUUUUCAAUUAUCAAUAUCUCUUUUCAGUCAGUAUUUGCAGCCUCUGCCUCAUCAAAUAUUCUCUUCAGAAAAAUGGGGGACACAGCAGAAGAGUUGAGUCCCAGGCCUGGUUCUACAGACCUGAGCGAAUACGAAACCUUGCUGGGCCUCCCUCUGCUCAGUAAGUGGUGAUCACACGGCCUCCAAGCAGGCAGUGAGGCUCUUAGUAAAAUGGGAACAUUUUAUCAUUGUGUAAAUGUAAGGCUCUUUGUGUAAAUGUGUAGUAAUCUCUUUAGGCAAAUCUUUUUAUUGGAAGUGGACAUUCUCUUUCUUUUUUUUUUUUUUUUAAUCUCUCCACCCCCAGUCUUUGACUCAAGAUUUUAAAGAUUGCUAUUAAAAGACAAGUGUGUUAGCACAUUAAGAUACUAUCAGGUAGCAGAUAACUUUUAAAAAGUUAAUUACUCAAAUUUGUCCCAGUAGAUGGAACUGUGAUGCCUUGGGGCACCGUGAGGCUUUGCAUAAUGGGAAGAAGGGUUUCGGGAACACCCGGUCCUUGGCUCUUGGUGCUUACUACAAAAACAAAAGAAAACCAACAAAACCCUGUGCAGAAAGGACCCUCGAGACAAACGCUCUUUGCAGUCUCGCCUUGGGCUUGUAAUUCACCGUCUGGAGAACGGCACAGAAUAUGUGGAUGAGCAGGUGAAAAAUAUUUAUUUCUCAGCAAGUACUAACUGAUGAGCCAAACAGGAAAAGACGAACUCUGUUAGAACUUAAUCUGUCCUAAACAGGAGAGGCCCACAGUGAGGAAUGGAGCCCCGCAGUGGGAUAAAAAAUGAUCGGAGCUGGGGCGCCUGGGUGGCUCGGUCUGUUAAGCAUCUGACUUCCCCUGAGGUCAUGAUCUCCCGGUUUGUGCGUUUGAGCCCCUCUCUGGGCUCUGUGCUGACAGCUCCGACCCCUGCUUGGGAUUCUCUCUCUCUCUCUCUCUCUCUCUCUCUCUCUCAAAAUAGAGAAAUAAACUUUAAAAGAAAGAAAAGAAAUGAUGAGGGCUCAGGGGGAGAAUUCUAAGUGGCUGUGACGAUCCCGUGUUCAGACUGAAGUCAAACCCGAGGGAAGAGACAGGGGUGGGGAAUUUAAACAAGGAGGAAACUCAUAAAGCAACUGAUAAAGAGAACAUGAAGUAGGAGGAAACCUGGCGAUGCCUGAGCCUCGGACUCCCCGCUGGGCACGAAGCCUGCUCCUGGUGGUGUGGGGCAGUUCCUGAGAUGCACAGAAGGGGGCGCCAUUUCCGUAUUAUUCUUCCUGCUCCUACUCUCCGAGCCCCCACAUUGAAGCUCCUGGUGCUAGGAUGUAUUACUUAUACUUCAUUUUACAGUUUUAAAAAAAUGUUUAAUGUUUAUGUAUUUUUGAGAGAGAGAGAGAAAGAGAGCAGGGGAGGGGAGGGGCAGAGAGAGAGGGAGACACGGAAUCUGAAGCAGGCUCCAGACUCCGAGCUGUCAGCACAGAGCCCCACGCGGGACUCAAACUCACAAUCCGUGAGCUCAUGACCUGAGCCGAAGUCUGGUGCUUAACCGACUGAGCCACCAGGCGCCCCAUUUUAUAGUUUUUUAAAUAAAUAUGUACUUUUUAAAAUUCUUUUUAAUUUUUAAGUUAUCUCCACCCUCAACGAACACGUGACCUCAAGAUCAAGAGUCUCACGUUUUACCAACUGAGCCGGCCAGGGGCCCCUCAUUUUACAGUUUUGAAAGCAUAUUUUCAUUUUAUCCUUAUGACAACUAGGUGAUACCUGGGGGCAGGUCCUAUCAUCCCCAUUUUACAGACGGAAAACAGAGAGGCAGCCAGUUUAAGUGAUUUACUCAAUGUCAGACAAGCAGUCAGCAGAACUUUUUUUUUUUUUUCUUGACUCCUGACCCAGUGCUCUCUCCGCUCUGCUGUCUAGACUAAAGCAGGGUUAUCAGGUACACCUGAGGGACGGACAAAGACCCAAACACUCACAGAUAAAGGGAAAGAAGGUCUGCUGGCUCCUGUGGGUCCUUUCCACACAGCGAAUGGCCUUGCAGACGCUGCUGCUCUUAGGACGUUUGGAGGUCAAGUUGGGCCCACUUCUGUGUUUCAAGCCUAUAAUUAAACUUAGCUUUCUGUUGGGUCACUCUGUGGUCAGGGCCAUGAGUUGAGCUUGGCCAAGGGGAAGGAAGGGUGUAAGCAGAAGUGGGUUGCCCACCUGCCACUUUUCCGGCUCAGUACCUCUCUUCUGGUGGACGUGAAGGCACCCGAAGUAACCUCUCAGUGACUGCAAGUUGGGAAACCUCUAUAACGAUUGCUUUUUAAAAAAAAAACAACAAACGUUUUCUAGUGUUUAUUUUUAAGAGACAGAGAGAGAGAGGGAGACACAUAAGCCAAAGCAGGCUCCAGGCUCGGAGCUGUCAGCACAGAGCCUGACACGGGGCUCGAACUCACAGGACUGCGACAUCAUGACCUGAACUGACAUCCGACGCUUAACCGACUGAACCACCCAGGCGCCCCGGUGAUUGCUUUUAACAAAGGCUGAGAAGGCCUGGCGUAUUGUCAGAAACCUAAAGUACCUGGGCACCUUGCGCUGUGUCCUUUGAGCAGCCUAGUGUCGAGACAUCAUAGUCUCUGAGUAAGUGUUAAAAAAUUGGCCAGAAAGUGUUUUCCUGUAUCAGUGGAUUAAUUAGCAGUUGCUGCAAUAAUGCUCUGUAACGACAGCAUUCGUAUCUCAUUUAUUUUGUUGCUCACAAGCCUGUGGGUUGGGUGCCCUCCCCUCCCCCAACAGAGGCUGCGCGUCCAGCCCGGGGUCUGCUCUCUGGUGUUCAUCAUUCCAGAACCGGUGGCCAACAAGGUCGUGGCUGGUGAAUUGCACACGCAUAAAAGAGCAAGCCAGAUCUCCCCGGCAUAUUUAGAGCCUCUGCUUGUGUCACAGUGUCACUAACACUGCACGGGUCAGAGCGAGUCACGGAUGCCGAACCGGAGAAGGAACGUACUCUGUGCUAGCAGGAGGUGCCGCAAAGUCGUUUAGCCAAGGACACGGAUGUUUGAUUCUAAAACAGAGACCGAAGCAUUGGGAGCAAUGACCCAAUGUACCACAACCAGUUAGGAAUCUGGCCAUAAAUAAUAGCUAACAUCAACUGAGUCUUAAACGUGUGAGGCACUUUUGUUAAGCACCUUGUACGUGUCAAUUCAUUUAAUUAUCACAACAACCCUAUGAGGUAGAUACUAUUAGGGUCUGUAUCUUAUAGAGGAAACACAGCCAAGGCACGGUGGGGUUAAGGAAGAAUUCAGAUCACACGGCAAGGGGUAGAGCAGGGCAGUGACAAUUACACCAGAAAGGAACGCUGUUCACGGCCUCUCUCCCUGUCGUGCCUCUUCUAGUCUUCUCCGGCCCUCCCCAACCCCGUCCCUCUCUCUGUGUGUGCUUUGUCUUUGGAAAUGACGCCAUCUGGCCUCCCAGUCCAGAACCCUUAGCGUCAUCCUUGGGCCCUCUCAGCCCCUCCCGUGUCUGCUCCCUCCUCUCGGCCCUGGGCUACCGUCUCCUCAGAGGCCUACCUACCACUUCUUCCCCAAGGCAUCCCUCUCUUUAGUCCUGCACCCUCGAGGCAUUGCUGCCAGAGGUAUUUGCCUAUAAUGCAGAUCUGAUCCCGUCAUUCUCCUGCUUAGAAAGUUUCCACACUCCCCAGAGCUUUUAGGACAAAGUUAGCUUUCCGUAUUCCGGGUCCUUCCUUUCUGACCUCCCCCCACACUUUUCUCCAGCAUCCCACACAACCUGUGUGCACUUUUCGUGCCCUCUUGCCUUUGUGGAUGGUGCUACACCCUCCGUCUGGAUCCUCUGCUCCCCUCUCCGUCUUGUCAACUUCUAUUUGUCUGGAGGCCUACCUUCCGGGAAGCCUUCUCCACUCUAUUCUCCAGUCUGGUUAGAUAUCCCUUCUCUGUGUCCCCAGCAGACUCUGUCUACACGUUGUGGCAUUUGCCAGAUUACAUCGCUAUCUGCUUCUCUAGCAUUACUUUUGCUCAACAUGUGAUUUGUGGACUCCCUGUUUCAGAAUCACCUGGGAAGCUUGUUUAAAACGUAGGCUCCUGGGGUCUAGCUUAGACCCACCAAUUCAGAAUUGUUGCAGGGCAAAGCCUAAGGGUCUUCAUUUAUUUAUUUUUUUUUAAUUUAACAUUUACUCAUUUUUUUUUUUUUUGAGAGACAGAGAGCACAAGCAGGGGAGGGGCAGAGAGAGGGGGAGACACAGAAUCCGAAGCAGGCUCCACGCUCUGAGCUGUCAGCACAGAGCCUGACGCGGGGCUGGAACUCACUGACCGCGAGAUCAUGACUCGAGCCGAAGUCGGACGCACAACCGACUGAGCCGCCCAGGCACCCCCUAAGGGUCUUUAUUUAAAAAAUUCCCCAAGAUGCCUGGGUGGCUCAGUCGGUUAAGCGUCUGACUUUGGCUCAGGUCAUGAUCUCAUGAGUUCGUGAGUUCAAGCCCCACGUCGGGCUCUGUGCUGACAGCUUGGAGCCUGCUUCGGAUUCUGUGCCUCCCUCUCUCUCUGCCCCUCUCCUGCUUGCACUCUGUCUCUCUCUCAAAGAUAAGUAAACGUUAAAAACUUUUUAAAAAUAAAUAAAAAAUUCCCCAAGAUGAUUUUUCACCUGUGCCAAGUGUAACCACCACACUAGACAGGCGAGUGCCAUGCUUUCUUGUACCUCUAUCAUCUAGCAUUGUGCGUGGCUCAAAGUAAGCACCCAGUGAAUGUGUUCUGAAUGAAUGAGUGAAAUGAGCUGUUCAGGUUUGGAGGCAACCCGAGGUGGAAGCUGAAAUCUCAGCUGCUGCGAUUCCAGACGCCAGCAGAUGGCACUGUGUCUACAUAAAUGCUUUCGCAUUGCGUUGGGGGAGGAAGCCGGGAAGUUCUGUUUUACUGGAAAUCGAGCCUCAAAUGCUGCGUAAUUGAAUUUAUUAUUAUUAUUUCCUGCUCACUUUGCCUACUAUUGUCCCACUUGCAUGAAUAAAUUGAUUUCUGGAGGGAUGAAGACUUGGACAAGGAAAGGGGAAAGAGGCUGGUCACACAGGAGAUCUGAGUGGGCAAUGAAGAUGGGAAGGAUAUACGUAAUUACCCUCAUUUCCAGACUCCGUGAUGGAAAGCCGCUCCUAGCGAGAGCACUGAGUGUUGUGAAAUUACCCAGAGCGUUCAAAAGAAUAUGCCAUUUCAGCGAGAGGGUGGAGCCAUCCUGUAAUUUCUGUUAGUCAUCUGCUGUUUUCUUUAUGGACUGUCAGAUGCCUGUAUGAUUACCCUUUUAAAAUCAUUUCCCUCACAGUCCGAAGUCUGAAAGCCUGAGUCUUCCUCCUGGGCUGAGUACUUUACUCUCCUAAAGGCCAGGGGCCCCAUAGACCUUUCCUCCCCCUUCCAGCCUCCCUCUCACCCCCCAGGGGCAUCCAUGUGCAAAAAACUGAUAGAGCUGGCAUGGGGCUCGGGGAGGCUAUCGGGCAAGGCCAGAGAUAGGGGCUGAGCUGUUUUCCUCCGAAGGGAACGAGGGGUGGGGUUCGCUGCCUUCCCAGCUCUUGGCAGAGAGGAGAGAGUGCACACAGGAGCAUAGUCUCGAUCUUAUUGGGAAGGCACAGUUUAAAGGCAUCACACAAAUUAAGGACAAUGAGUAGAAAUAACUACCAAGUUCUGAAUGAUCCAGUAUAAACUAGACGGAAGUGCUUCAAAGGAAUGAGAGAAAAUACAUUUCUCCUUUUCCUUUUUUUUUUUUUUUGGAAUUUUUUAUUUUAUUUUAUUUUAUUUUUUAAUUUACAUCCAAGUUAGUUAGCAUAUGGUGCAACAACGAUUUCAGGAGUAGACUCCUUAAUGCCCCUUAUCAUUUAGACCACGCCCCCCCCCACAACCCCGCAGCAACCCUCUGUUUCUUCUCUGUAUUUAAGAAUCUCUUAUAUGUUUUGUCUCCCUCCCUGUUUUUAUAUUAUUUUUCUUCCCUUCCCUUAUGUUCAUCUGUUAUCCUAAAGUCCUUGUAUGAAUGAAGUCAUACGAUAUUUGUCUUUCUCUGACUGACUAAUUUCGCUUAACAUAAUACCCUCUAAUUCCAUCCACAUAGUUGCAAAUGGCAAGAUUUCAUUCUUUUUGAUUGCCGCAUACUACUCUAUUGUAUAUAUAUAUAUAUAUAUAUAUCACAUCUUCUUUAUCCAUUCAUCCAUCAAUGGACAUUUGGGCUCUUUCCAUACUUUGGCUAUUGUUGAUAGUGCUGCUAUAAACAUGGGGGUGCAUGUGUCCUUUCAAAACAGCUUACCUGUAUCCCUUGGAUAAAUACCUAGUAGUGCAAUUGCUGAGUUGUAGGGUAGUUCUAUUUUUAAUUUUUUGAGGAACCUCCAUAUUGUUUUCCAGAGAGGCUGCACCAGCUUGCAUUCCCACCAACAAUGCAAAAGAGAUCCUCUCUCUCCGCAUCCUCACCAACAUCUGUUGUUGCCUGAGUUGUUAAUGUUAACCAUUCUGACAGGGGUGAGGGGUAUCUCAUUGUGGUUUUGAUUUGUAUUUCCCUGAUGAUGAGUGAUGUUGAGCAUUUUUUCAUGUGUCAGUUGGCCAUCUAAAUGUCUUCUUUGGAGAAGUGUCUAUUCAUGUCUUUUGCCCAUUUCUUCACUGGAUUAUUUGUUUUUGGGUGUUGAGUUUGAGAAGCUGUUUAUAGAUUUUGGAUACUAACCCUUUAUCUGAUAUGUCGUUUGCAAAUAUCUUCUCCCAUUCUGUCGAUUGCCUUUUAGUUUUGCUGAUUGUUUCCUUCACUGGGCAGAAGCUUUUUAUUUUGAUGAGGUCCCAAUAGUUCAUUUUUGCUUUUGUUUCCCUUGCCUCCAGAGACAUGGUGAGUAAGAAGUUGCUGCGGCCAAGGUCAAAGAGGUUGUUGCCUGCUUUCUCCUCAAGGAUUUUGAUGGCUUCCUGUCUUACAUUUAAGUCUUUCAUCCGUUUUGAGUUUAUUUUUGUGUAUGGUGUAAGAAAGUGGUCCAGGUUCCUUCUACAUGUCGCUGUCCAGUUUUCCCAGCACCACUUGCUGAAGAGACUGUCUUUAUUUUAUUGGAUAAUCUUUACUGUUUUGUCGAAGAUUAGUUGGCCAUAUGUGUGUGGGUCUGUUUCUGGGUUCUCUAUUCUGUUCCAUUGAUCUGAGUGUCUGUUUUUGUGCCAGUACCAUACUGUCUUGAUGAUUACAGCUUUGUAAUACAGCUUGAAGUCCAGGAUUGUGAUGCCUCCUGCUUUGGUUUUCUUUUUCAAAAUUGCUUUCGCUAUUCAGGGUGUUUUCUGGUUCCAUAUAAAUUUUAGGACUGUUCUAGCUCUGUGAAGAAUGCUGGUGUUAUUUUGAUAAGGAUUGCAUUGAAUAUGUAGAUUGCUUUGGGUAGUAUUGACAUUUUACCAAUAUUUGUUCUUCCUAUCCAGGAGCAUGUAAUAUUUUUCCUUUAUUUUUUUAUUUUUUUAUUUCUUGAAUAGUCAAGUUCAAAGUUCAAACGUCAUAAAGCGGGAGGUCAGUCAAGGUUAGGACUUCAUGGCCUGGUCCUGGUCACGUGGUCAGGAGGCAUGGGCAUCCUUCUGGGUCACCCAUAUGGAUUUGAUAGUCCUCACGAUGAGGGGUCUGCCCACAUUUGCAUCUAGAUGGAGUCAGUGGCCAGGAGGCUUGGGAGCACCAAGCAGGAGUACGUGGGUGGCAAAUGUUCCUGUCUUCGAGACAAAGCCUGGGCAGAAGGACUGCUCUGGGCAAGAGGGAGCUGUGCCCUGAAAACAGAUGUCUGCCCCACCUGCAGGCAGCACCUGUGGUCUCCAGGUAGACCGAGCGCUGGGCCUCGGAAAACACAGUGUGCACGUUCUGGGAAGCUGAAAUGAUAAGGCCGGAAGCCCUAGCAGGCAUAUCUCUCUCCGGGAAGUUAAGGGCCUCACCCUGGUGGCCGAGGUCAGAGUAGCCAGCUAGGAGCAGGUUCCACAGGCCACACAGUACAUGUUACUGCCCGGGGACACAGAUCUGGUUCAGCUUGUCCAGGGAGGGCUGCUUGGAAGCGGGCAGGGAGCCGUCAGCCAGAGGCCCUACACCCAGGGGACAGGCCCUGCCUCACAGUGCUGGACUAGAAGGAUGCCAGGACUCAGUGUCAGGAUGGUCGUGACCAGUGGAAGGCCGAUUCUGCCUCUCUCUGCUUGUAGCAGGUAGCGUGCAUCCUCCAGAUCAGAGAGAAGCAGAUCAAGGUUCUGCUGAUUGACAGGAACUUGGGGGCGGGUAAUACUUCCUCUUAGAAGGGAUCCCAGUCUUGGAAGGAUGGGAGGGAGGAGUUCCCCUUCUUUCUAUUCUGCAGAGAGUCUAAAGAAGGUGCCAUAAGGGGGCGCCUGGGUGGCUGUCGGUUUAGCAUCCAACUCUUGAUCUCAUGGUGGUGAGGUCGAGCCCCACAUUGGGCCCUGCGCUGAGCACAGAGCCUUUUGGGAUUUUCUCUUUCAAUCUCUCUCUCUCUGCCCCUCCCCCACAUGCAUGUGUUCUCUGCCACUCUCUUAAAAAGAAAGGGGGUACAGGGAGCCGGGGUGGCCCAGUCAGUUGAGCGUCUGACUCUUGAUUUUGGCUCAGGUCAUGAGCUCACAUUUUGUGAGUUUGAGCCCUGCAUCGGGCUCUGCACUGACAGUGUGCAGCCUGCUUGGGAUUCUCUCUCUCCUUCUCUCUCUCUCUCUCUCUCUCUCUCUGCCCCUCCCCCCCAAAAUAAAUAAAAAUAAUUUAAAAAGAAAGAGGGUGCCCCUGCCAGAUGGGGGGUUUCAGAAGAAAACCCCUUCUCUCUGCUCCUCCUGCUCACAGCAGGGAUGGAUUAGGAGCAGGCACUGCUGGGGAAGAGGUGUGGCCAGGUUCUUUCUCCCCUGCAGGCCAGAGAAGAUAACUCAACAGGCCAAAGUCAAAGCCAUUCUGGUCUGGAUCCCCAGCUAGGAGGAGGAUUGUUCAGCCACUGGUUGUCCAAAGGAUUGGGUCCUCCCUGGGAGAACUGGGUUUAAAGGGAGGGUCUCGGGAGCCUGCUCCCUCGUGCAUGUUUCUGUAGCGCUUCUGGGGCUGGUUUCUCUUCCUUCUUAGAUGAUUGGUUUAGAUCCAGUAUGGAACUGUUGCUUGCAGUUCCCAGAUCUGCUUUGGCCUCAUAUUCCUCAUCUCAGAACUGUCACUACCACGUACCCAAUUGUUUAAACCAGAAAACUGGGGGCAUCCGGGUGGCUCAGUUGCUCGAGUAUCUGACUCUGGAUUUCGGCUCAGGUCGUGAUCUCACGGUUUGUGGGAUCGAGCCCUGUGUCAGGCUCUGCACUGACAGUGUGGAGCCAGCUUGGGAUUCUCUCUACCUCUCUCUCGCUCUGCCCUGCUCUUUCUCUCAAAAUAAAUAUUAAAAACAUUAUUAAUAUUAAAACAAUUAAUAUUAUAUUAAUAUUAAAUUAAUAUAUCACUAUAAAUUAAUAUUAAUAUUUAAAAAUAUUUUUAAAAUAUUAAAAACAAAUAAGCCAGAAAGCCGGACGUGACCUUUGACUCAGCCCUUCCCCUACCCCUUUGUGUCAUCUCUCUUCACUGCCACCACCUUAAUCCAAACCAUCAUCAUCAGCUGCCCAAUGGCAGCGGCAUCUUUAUCGAUCUCCCCGCUUCCUCUCUCACCACCCACCCCCUGCCAAUCUACACAUCGCCUAGCCACCAGUGACCGCUCACCCCCCGUGGUUCUCGGGCCCAGCACCCUGGUCGUUUCCUUCAGGCACUUGGCACAAGUUACACAGUUAUUUUGUUGUUCAUUUUGUUGUCUGUCCCCUCGACUAGACUGUGGCACCAUGGGGCAGGGAAGCUUGUCUGUUCAGUGCGUCAUUGUAUCCUUCCUGCCAACACAGUGCUUUGCACAGAGUAGAUAAUAGCUAUUAGAUGGAUGUCAUGAGGCCAAAGAAUUUAGAUUUGCAAGGAGGAGUUUCACACAUUUUAGAAAAAGGACUGAUAAAACGUAAAUACGUGUUAGAGCUUCAGAGGGAAUGAUGGAGGCAGCUGGAUGGACAUUAAUGCAUCCUCCUUACUCACAGCUUCCCAGUUGAUGGGGCCUACGGUAAUGUCGCAAAAUACAAGAGGAAGGGAUGGAAUCCUAGAGAGAGUUUAAAGGAGCAAUUAGUAUCUUCCCGCGUAAGUUGGGAAGGAGAGAGGCAUUGAUGUUGUAGGUCUCGUGAGCCAGAAAAGCAGUGCUACUUCAUUUCUUUGAAAAAAUAAUAGCAUCACUUGGGAAAACCUCAGAUUUGAGUGGAAAAUGAGCUCAGUUUUUAGCCAUGUUGAGUUUGAAAUGACUAAAUAUUUCCCGGGGGGCCACUGAGAACAGCUAAACUUCUUUGACAAUUUGGUCGUCCAUGAAAUAGUCAUAAGUUUUAUUACUCCAAAAAAAAAGAGAGUGAAAGCCUCAAAAUUCUAAACCCGGUUACAUGUUAAGGAUACACCCAGAUCGUUUGGAACUACAAUUUUGUUGCAUCAAACCAUGACCAUUAAUAGCCAUGCCGUUAUCUAUUGAAUAUGCAAUGAUUUUAUUGUAUGAGUACCUGUCAUAACUAAUUAAUUGCAACUCAUGUAUAUUUUUCCGUGUUUUUCAAAUUUUUUAUGACAGCAUGUGGUAUUUUUUUUUUAGCUUCUAUUUUUAUAAAUCGGGGAAAAAAUGGGAUACUUUUUAAAACAAAAAUAGAAAAACUCACUGUGUCAAUUUCUGAAUGAAUAGCUUUGGGGUAAGCACUUGCCUUUACACACCAAACAUAUGUAAGCACAGAAGUUACUAAAUGUUCCCAGAAAUCACUGGAAAUUUCCCUCCAAGAAGUACACACAUGUUGAUGUUUCUUGGAAUUCUCUGCAGCUGGUUUCCCUUCUCUGGUUUCAGACUGCUUAGUCUCAAAAAUCACUGGGCUGGAAUUAUACAGUAACCCUAUUGUUCCAAUAAUUCUCCCUGAUGGCAAAAUUCAGGGAUUUGUCCCCUUUUGGCUAUUAGAGUCCCAGACCUAACUAUUAGCUAUUCUUCUCGAUGUGGUUUUGAUCUCUUAGAGGAUUUUCACAUCAAAAGUGUCAUUCAGGGUUUUGUUUUACUGUGGUAAGCUUCCAUUUGAGCCGCAAGCAGCGUGGGGGAAAAAGCAGAGGUGGGUGGGGCGGGAAGGGUAGGGAGAGAGGAGUGGAGAAUAUUCCAUGCUGAAUUCAUAGUCCUCUUGGUUGUUAGACUGAAGAAUGGCCCAGAGGUAGGUGACUGGGAAAGAGUCGUCUGGAAAUAAUGACACUGAGGAUUAAUGCAAAAACCUGGGAAUAUUUCACAACGAGAAGAAGGUAGUACAUUGGGACUUUGUAGCAAGAGGGAUUAAAUGUAAUCAUAGAAGUAAUGCAUCACAGUAAGAGGAAGAAUGAUAUCGACCGAUAUUUAAGGAACUUUUAAGUAAUUAAAGUUGUCAAGAAAUGGAGCACACUGCUUCAUGUGACAUAAGCUGUAUGCCCAUGGAAAUUUCCAAGAAGAUUCUGGAAGACCGUCCUCCGGGAAUGGUACAGGAAGGCUGUGUGUUGGACAGAGCAUUGGACUUUAUUUCUCACUCAGGCUGCAUGUCGGUGGUGGAUUGACUACUGAAUCCUAUUUGUCCUCACUCUAAAACCCAGGCUAAUGGAGCACCUACUAACUGGAAAAAUGCCGGUCGCCGUGGAAAAGGGAAAGAGGAGCUUCAGUUUGAAAGUGACACCUGUAAUGAUUUCUACUCACAUUUCACUGGCCAGAGCAAAAUGCUUGAUCACACCUAAAAUCAGGUGGGCAGUGAAAUGCACGUGCCUUAUGUUAGUCGGCAAACAGAAACGGUUUAUAAUGUAAAUGGCAUAUAGCUUACAGGUUUUAAAAACUCAGAUGUGAAUAGGAUUUUUGAAAUCUUUCCUUGGGCUUGACAACAGCUUGUUCUUUGUGUUCUUAAAUAGUUUCACCGUUAUUUCAGUUAGGACCCUCUCAGUGGUUAUGUCUAGGAAAAGGCAAACUUCUGAAGCAGAAACUAACAGGAAUCCAUGUAUAAGGGACAGGGUUAGUUUUCCGAUGCAGAGCUGUGCAAUGGUACUGCUAGGAUUAUUGCUCUUAGACUCUUCUUCAUGUUUUGUGAGAAAAAGCAAUUAAUUAUGUUGGAGAUGUGGGAAAGCAAGGUUUUUUUUUGCCACGGGAUCAGAAAGAUACAAAUGUGAGAACAAUGCAGUUAACUUAAUUUCACUUGAACCCUGAUUUUGAAUUGGAAGUACCAGUAUGAACUCAGUAUAUCUUAUCUUAAAAAAGAAAAAAAGUAUUUUCUAGUUCUGUCUACUGAGAAAGGCUAGAAAUAAAAACAAUAGGUAAGAGUGCCCAGGUUAUGGCCUCUAAUAACCACUUCCCUCUAAAAGAAAUCAAGCUUCUUGGAAAAAUGGCUGAUUCCAGAUUAGGCACAGGAAAUAUACGGGUUGAGCCGGGAACAUCGUGUCAUCCAAAAAGAAAGAAAUUUAUUUUUUUUAAUCAAAAAAAUUUUUUUAACAUUUAUUUAUUUUUGAGAGACAGAGCAUGAGCGAGGGAGGGGCAGACAGAGAGGGAGACACAGAAUCCGAAGCAGGCUCCAGGCUCCAAGCUGUCAGCACAGAGCCCAACGCAGGGCACGAACCCACGAACUGUGAGACCAUGACCUGAGCCGAAGUCGGACGCUUAACCGACUAGCCACUCAGGCUCCCCGAAAGCAAGAAAUUUAUGAAGGGAAUACUUGAGCCGUGCAAAAAGGCUCAGCGACCAAGUUGAAUGGUCUCUUCCUGGAGAGAGGGGAUACCUUGAACAGUUUUAAGAAUACAAAGUGAGGUGGAUUGAAACACAUCGAAUGUGCUUGAAUUCAUGAGCUCAUAUCCUUGCAAAUCCCCAAUGGACACUUUUGCAGAACUUGUUAUUCUGAAAACUGGCAGAUAAAGGAAAAGGAACAGAGAUCUUCUCUUUCCUCUAUGACUGCACCUCGGGUAACCAAAUAGUCGAUAACAGAAAGCUUCUCUUUAUGGAAGUUUUCCAGUUAAUGAAGAAGAAAUCAUCGAAUAAGAACAUGAUUGUUUUGCUGCCCCUAAUGAAUGAAUGGCAGUAGGCAAUGAUUAUCAGUAGCGGCCAGCAUGCAAGAAACAGACUUCUAGACAUUUAUGCCUCAUGACAGAAGUGCACAUCCUACGUAUGAAGUAUACCUCCUGCAAAACAAACGAGAAACGGAAACUGAAUCUUGGGAAUUCUCUAGGUCAGUGACUCUCAAUGCUGCCUUCUAGGAAACAUUUGGCAUUGUCUGGAGAUAUUUUUGGUUGUCACAAUUGGGAGAGAGUGUGCUACUAACAUCUGAUGGUUAGAGGCUCGGGGUGCUGCUUAACCUUCUGUAUGGGACAAUCACCGCCCCCCCCCCACCGCCUCCAAUGAAGAAUCAUUUGGCCCAAAAUGUCAAUAGUGCCCAGCUUGAGAAAUCUGCUUUAGAUCAAAUAAUCAAUUAAUAUAUAUACAGUGACAGAAGAGCAUGUUAAGUGACGUCUUAGGGAUGCAAUCAACAAAAUCAGAUAUGGGAAACUCUAUAAGAGAAUCACAGUACCAUAAAACCUCAGAUUGCGAGUAACUUGUUCUGUGAGUGUUCCACAAGACCAGCAAACAUUUCUUCUUUUUAAAAAAAAUGUUUAAUGUUUAUUUAUUUUUGAGGAGGGGAGGGGUAGAGAGAGGAGGAGACACAGAAUCUGAAGCAGGCUUCAGGCUCUGAGCUGUCAGCACAGAGCCCAAGGCAGGGCUCGAACCCAUGAAACCGUGAGAUCACGACCUGAGCUGAAGUCAGACACUUAACUGAAUGAGCCACCCAGGCGCCCCUUGACUAGCAAACAUUUCUAAUGAACUUUAACUUGAUCAACGAAUGAUGUCUUGCAAUAUGAGUCAUACGUGACGCCCAAUGUCACAUGAUCACAACUGAGCCAAUGGUUCUUGAAAUUCGCCUUGAUAUACAAGUGCUUUGGAUUACAAGCAUGUUUCUGGAAUGAAUUAUGCUCGCAAGCCAAGGUUUUAUUAUAGUUUCUUUAGCAAAUAAAAGGGUAUUUAUCUUUUAGAGAUACAUAUGGAGAUAUUUACAGAUGAAACAUUAUGAUGUCUGGGAUUUCCUUCAAAAUAAUUUUCAAUGGAUAUGGGUAACUGGAUGUGGGUCUAGAUGAAAUAAGAUUGGCCAUAAGUUAGUAGUUGUUGAACUGGAUAGAAAAGUAUAUGAGGGUCACUCUCUGGUAUAUUAGGAUUGUACACAAUAAAAAGUUAAAAGAUUUUAAUGAUUUAUUAUAUAAAGUGAUGGUGAUAACAAAUGGUAGUUUUUUAAAAAGUGUUAUUUACUUUAAAAUUAAAGGUAGCAUCAUUUUUAAAAAUGUUUUAUUUAUUUAAGUAAUCUCUAUACCUAAUGUAGAGCUCAAACUCACAACCCUGAGAUCAAGAGUCUCAUGUUCUUCCGACUGAGCCAGCCAGGAGCCCCAAGGGUAGCAUCUUUUUUUAAUCGGUGUAUUCGUUAUCUAUUGCUGCAUAACAAAUUGUUCCAAAGCUUAGCAGCUUCAAACAGUAUUAUCUCAUCGGUUUCUGAGUUAACAGGAAUCUGAGAGCCUCUUAGCCAGAUGGUUCUGUCUCAGCAUCUUUUACAAUCAAGAGAGUGGCUGGGGCUGCAGUCACCUGGAUGGUCCCCUUUCAAGAUGGCUCCCUCACAUGGCUGUUGUGUGAUGGCCUCAGUGCCCUGUUACAUGGCCUCUCUGUAGUGCUGCGGAGUGUCCUAAUGACAUGGCAGCUAGAUUCUCUCACAGCAAGCAAUCCAAGAAAAAGAAUAAGCAAGAGGCUGCAGUGCCUCUUGUGACCUAGUCUUAGAAGUCACACUGUCACUUCUGCCAUAUUUUAUUCAUUAGAAGUGAGUCAGUAAGCCCAACCCAUACUCAAGGGAAGGGAAACUCGGAUCCACCCAUCGAAGGCAGUUAUGAAAAAUUGGUGGACACAUUCUAAACCACCACAAUUGACCUCUCUCUCUCUCUCUCUCUCUCUCUCUCUCUCUCUCAAUGGUCUAUAAGAUCCUAAAGUGACAGAAACACUAGUCUCUAAUAAACCUAUGCUAACAUAAAAAAGAUAUAUCAACUGCAAUAUAUUGAGGGAUUACACCUACAUUUUACGAGGUUAAGAUACCUCAUUACUUGUUAUUAAAAGGGUCGAUCUAAAUGGAACCCUAAUAGUAUAUAACAUCAAAUAUUAUUAAAUUUUUUUAAUGUUUGAUUUAUUUUUGUGAGAGAGAGAGAGAGAGAGAGAGAGAAUGAGCAGGGGAGAGGCAGAGGGAGAGGGGGAGACACAGAAUCUGAAGCAGGCUCCAGGCUCUGAGCUGUCAGCACAGAGCCUGAUGUGGGGCUUGAACCCACAAAGCAUGGGAUCAUGACCUGGGCCCAAGUCAGACGCCUAACCAACUGAGCCAUCCAGGUGCCUCAUCUAACAUUAAAUUAUUUUUAAAGGUGGAAUGAUAUAUUGAAACAAUUUGAAAGAAACAAAGAAGGAUGAAGAUUUUCAGUUAAAGCGUGCCUGGAUGGCUCAGUUGGUUAAGUGUCUGACUCUUGGUUUCAGGUUAGGUCAUGAUCUCACAGUUUUUGUGAGUUCGAGCCCCUCAUUAGGCUCUGUGCUGACAAUGCAGAGCCUGCUUGGAUUCUCUCUCUCCCACUCUCUCUGCACCGUCCUCUCCCCGCUUGCACUGUCUCCGUCUCUCUCAAAAUAAAUAAAUUAAUUAAAAAAAAAAGAUUUUCAGUUAAGCAAGUACUGAAGUGUAGGAUAAAUUCUGAAGGGUAAGUUCGUUCGUGCUCUCUCAAAUUUCUCUCUGGAAUUAAAGGAGAGCGAAUGUACAGGGUCGUUCCAAGCACAUGAACAAAAACCAACUCUUAGCUUCUCAUCAUCCAAAUAUCCCCAGGCUCAUCAUAAUCAGAAACAUUCACAGCGGGCUGGAUGUAAUCCAUUGUCUCCUUCAUAGGCAACCGUAUCUUGUGCAAACUGCAUGAUGUGAGCUACACAAAGACCCUGCUUCCUCUCCGCCUCUCAGGCAUUCACCCUCAUCCUGUAAAGGCUCUCAGAUGUGCCGUAGCCUCCCUUUUGUAGGUCUUUUCCCUCCAUCAAGUUAGAGAAUCCCAUAAAGGGUAGCUCCUGGACCCCAUGCAGCAUAAUCGCCUGAGGUGUGCAUCUGGAGACACAUUUCUAGAGCCAGCCCCACACCCACCAAAUCAGAAAAUCUUCGAUUGUGGCCCGGACACAUGCAUCUUUAAUAAUAUCCCCCAGGGAAGCUCAAGAACCACUGAACUGGGCUGUGAACAUCCUGAGAACAGGGGCUGAGUCUUACUCACCUGUGCAUUCUUAGUCUCUCCCCUCUACCCUUGUACCUUCCCCAGGCAUAGGCAACCCUAGGACCCUGCCAGGCGUUAGACAAAUGUGUGUGGGAUUGAACUGAUUUGGAAAAAGUUCCAUAUAGUAUAAAGUUCUGACUGCGCUAAUUCACGAAGAGAUUCUAUGUUGAUGAGACCCUUUGACCGAUAGGUUUGGUGAGGCGAUCAUGUACUGUUUUUGCCGGCCUGGCAUCUGUCAUCUCUUGCGAUAAUAGCACUUCGGUUUCCCUUACGGGAGCCAGGCUCCGUCUCUCAGGCUCCAUUCCUGUAGUCCGAGAGGCACCGACAAGACUUUCUCUACAAAGGAGGUGAGCCUGUGUCCCAGCUUUGGCCAAUCAGAACAUAUAUUCCUCCAGACUACUGUGAUUGGUUCAGACACGGGUGUGUGACUCAGUGAGAGCUCUGCUCCAGAUUUGCUGGUGCCAUUAGGAGAGACGUGGCUUCCUUGCACUGGGUUUGCUAAGCUGGUGUAACAGAAGUCUAGACUUUCUAAUGACCAUCUUUGCCUCCGCCUAAUCUACUUUUGGUCUCUACAGAUUUGCCUGUUUGGACACUUCAUGUAAAUGGAACCACACAACAGGUGGAUUUUUCUUUUUUUAAUAGAUGGCUUCUUUCACUUAGUAUGAUGUUUUCAAGGCUCAUCUAUGGUGUAGCACAUAUAGUGCUUCGUUCCUUUUUAUUACCAACUAAUAUUGCAGUGUAUGGAUAUACUCUAUUUUGUUUGUCCAUUUAUCAGUCAGGGGACAUUUGGGUGCCUUUGACUUUUCAUGGACCAGUAAAUUCCUUUCUGUGGUGAAGUAUUUCUAUAACAGUGAAAAAGCUUGUAAUGCAGACAGUUCUGAAUCAAAUAUUGGAACGUGUGAUUUCAUGAGUGACGAGUAUGAUUUGGACAGAGACAGUGAAUAAAAUAUGAGAAUUUAAGACAGGGGCGCCUGGAUGGCUCAGUUGGUUAAGCACCCAACAUCAGCUCAGGUCUUGAUCUCACAGUUUAUGAAUUUGAACCCUGCAUCAGGCUGUGUGCUGUCAGCUCAGAGUCCACUUCGGAUGCUCUGUCUCCCUUUCUCUCUGCCUCUCCCCUGCUCACGCGCGCUCUCUCUCUCCCUCUCUCAAAAGUAAGUAAACAUUAAAAAAAAAGAAGUUAAUAAAAAAAAAAGAAGUUAAUAAAAAAAAAAAAAGUUAAGAAGGUCCUAGAGGGGCGCCUGGGUGGCGCAGUCGGUUAAGCGUCCGACUUCAGCUCAGGUCACGAUCUCGUGGUCCGUGAGUUCGAGCCCCGCGUCGGGCUCUGGGCUGAUGGCUCAGAGCCUGGAGCCUGUUUCGGACUCUGUGUCUCCCUCUCUCUCUGCCCCUCCCCCGUUCUGCCUCUCUUUGUCUCAAAAAUAAAUAAACGUUAAAAAAAAUUUUUUUUUAAAUAAAAAAAAAAAAAGAGAGUCCUAGAAAGUCAGGGAUGUAUUGUUUAUGUGACAAUGUUACAUUUGUGUAUUAGGUGUAAAUUCACACUUAAAGUUUCAUAAUUAUAAAUCACAAUGUUUCCUGAUUAUGAUGUAGCUUCAAGACUGGCAACUGGAGCCUUGAGAAUUCUGCUCUGAGUGUUGAUCACCUUCUGAUCAUCCACUUCUCUGUCACUUUCACUGUCAAUGAAGGUGGUUUGAGGUUGUCUGCAAAAUAAGACUCAAGUUUCUCUCUUCGCCCCCGUCCCAAAGGCUCUAAAAACAAGCACACAAACAUUUUCGAAUUGUAUCAGUGUUUUUGCUGCUAAUAGUCAUGGGAAGACAGAUGUUCAAUAUCACAAUCAAUGAGUCUCCAAGAAUCAUUAAAAAAAGAAUCUUCAAAAGCCCUACUUAUGGUUAUUCCUGGUCAUCGUCUAAAUGUUAGUGGGACUCAGGCCAACGUCUUCUAGCUCAAUAUCCCAACCUUCUUAGAUGCUCCUUUGGGACAGGGGGCUCUGCUCGUCCUAGAGGACCGGACUAAUGACCUGCGAGCUUCUUGGAACUCUGAAAGUCUGUAAUCUCUACCAGCUCCUCAGUUAACACCUUUCACAAUAUAUUUAACUAAUCAAGAGAUGGAGAAGGAGAAUAGACUCUGGGAGCCAGACAGACCUGGGUUUGAAACCCACUGUAUUAAUUUUCUGUAGCUGGGUAACAAACCACACACAUAGUGGCUUGAACACAUACUCAUUAUCUCACAGUUUCUGUGGGUCAGGAGUUCAAGCCUUGCUGGGUUCUGUGCUUCAGAGCCACACGAGGUUGUAACCAAGGUGUCCAUCAGGAAGGGGUUCUCACCCCCAGGGUCAACUUCUAAAUAGUCACUUUAACAACUUGGAUAUGUAGAUUUAUGAACUUCAUCAAAUUUGGAAAGAUUUACUCACAAUUUUUUUUUCAAAUAUUCUUUCUGCCCCGUUCUCUUUCUUGUCUGCUUCUGGAACUCCCAUUACGUGUGUGUUUGAAGGCAUCCCGUACAUCUUUUGUUUGUUUUUGAAGCUUCUCAAAGCAUGGUUCUUAAGCCAUCAACACCAACUUGGAAGUUGUUGGAAAUGCAAAUUCUUAGGCUUUGCCCCAGAUAUAUUGAAGAGACUGUGGGAAAGAGGCCCAACAAUUGUGUGUGUGUGUGUGUGUGUGUGUGUGAAUUAAAGAAUAGUUGACACACAAUGUUACAGUAGUUUCAGGUGUAUACCAUAGUGAUUUGACAAAUCUAUAUGUUAUACUAUGCUUACCAUAUACUUGCAAUAUCAUAGACCAUAUUCCCUACACUGUACCUUUCAUUCCCAUGACUUAUUCAUUCCAUAACUGGAAGUCUGUACUUCUUAUUCCCUUUCACCCAUUUUGCCCAUACCCCAACUUCAUACCCUCUGGCUACCAUUAGGUUGUUCUCUGUAUCUAUGAGUCUGCUUCUGUUGUGUUUGCUCCUUUGUUUUGUUUUUUAGAUUCCCCAUGUAAGUGAAAUCAUGUGGUAUUUGUCUUUCUCUGACUAACUUGUUUCAUUUAGCAUAGGGUUCUUCAUGAACCCGUAGGUUCAUCCAUGUUGUUGCAAAUGUCAAGAUCUCAUCUUUUUUUUUGGGGGGGGGGAGAGGGUGGAAGAGAGAGGAAAAGGAAAAGAGAUACAGAAUCCCAAACAGGCUUUAUGCUGAUCAUGGAGCCCAAAAUGAGGCUGGAUCCCAGGACUCUGGGAUCAUGACCUGAGCCCAAAUCAAGAGUCAGAAGCUCAACCAAAUGAGCCACCCAGAUGCCCCAAGGUCUCAUUCUUUUUUAUGGGUAACAUUGCAUUGUGUACAUACACCAUAUCUUCUUUGUCCAUUCAUCUAUUGAUGGACACUUAUGUUGCUUCCAUAUCUUGCCUAUUGUAAUAGCUGCAAUAAUAAUAGACAAUGCUACAGUAAACAUAGAGAUGCACAUAUCUUUUUGAAUUAGUGGAAUAUCCAGGAAUGGAAUUACUGGAUCAUAUGAUAGUUCCAUUUUGAAGUUUUUGAGGAACAUCCGUAUGUUUUCCACAGUGGUUACACCAGUUUAUAUUCCCACCACCCAUGCUCAAGGGUUCCUUUUUCUCCAUAUCCUCACCAACACUUGUCAUUUCUUGCCUUUGUGAUUUUAGCUAUUCUGACAGGUGUAAGGUAAUAUUUCAUUGUGGUUUUGAUUUGCAUUUCCUUGAUGAUUAGCAGUUUUGAGAGCAUCUUUUCGUGUGUCUGAUGGCCGUUUGUAUGUCUUCCUUGGAAAAAUGUGUAUUCAUAUCCUUUGGCCAUUUUUUAAUUGGACGGUUUGGUUUUUUGGUGUUAAGUUGUGUACAUCCUUUGUAUAUUUUGGAUAUUAACCCCUUAUUGGAUAUAUCACUUGCAAUUAUCUUCUGCCGUUCAGAAGGUUGUCUUUUGUUUUGUUGAUGGUUUCCUUUGCUGUGCAAAAUCCUUUUAUUUUGUCAGUCCUAAUAGUUUAUUUUUGCUUUUGUUUCCUUUGCCUGAGAAGACAUCUAGAAAAAUGUUGCUAAGGCCAGUGUCCGAGAGAUUACUGCCUGUACUCCUCUGGGACUCUUAUGGUGUCAGGUCUUACAAUUAGGUCUUUAAUUCAUUUUCAGUUUAUUUUUGUGUUUGGUGUAAGAAAGUGGCCCAGUUUCAUUCUUUUGCAUGUAGGUGUCCGGUUUUGCUAACACCAUUUGUUGGAGAGAUUGUCUUUUUCCCAUUGCAUAUUCUUGCCUCCUUUAUCGUAGAUUAAUUGACCAUAUAAGAAUGAGUUUAUGGGGUGCCUGGAUGGCUCAGUUGGUUAUACAUCUGACUCUUGAUUUUGGCUCAGGUCAUGAUCUCACACUUUGUGAGACUGAGUCCCAUGUUAGGCUUUGCAUGGCACAGAGCCUGCUUGGGAUUCUCUCUCUCCUCUCUCCCUGCCCCUCCCCCUGCUGGUGCUCACUUCUCUCAAAAUAAGUCAACUUAAGGGGCGCCUGGGUGGCUCAGUCGGUAGAGCGUCCGACUUCAGCUCAGGUCAUGAUCUCACAGUUUGUGAGUUUGAGCCCUGCGUCGGGCUCUGUGCUGACAGCUCAGAGCCUGGAGCCUGCUUCCGAUUCUGUGUCUCCCUCUCUCUCUGCCCCUCCCCUUCUAAUGCUCUGUCUCUCUCUCUCUGUCUCAAAAAUAAAUUUAAAAAAAAAUUAAGUCAACUUAAAAAAAAAAAGAAUGUUUAUUUCUGGGCUCUCUAUUCUUUCCCAUUGAUCUACAUGUCUACUUUUUGUGCCCAUACCAUAUUGUUUUAUUAUUUUAGCUUUGUAGUAGAUCUUAAAAUCUGAGAUUGUGACUCUUCCAGCUUUAUUCUUUCUCAAGAUUGUUGGCUACCUGAGGUCUUUUGUGGUUCCACAUAAAUUUUAGAAUUCUUUGUUCUAGUGCUGUGAAAAACGAUAUUAGUAUUUUGAUAGGUAUUACAUUGAAUCUGUAGAUUGCUUUGGGUAUAUAGGCUUUUAAAAAAAUGUUUAAUCAUUUAUUUUGAUAGAGAGAGUACACACACAUGCACAAGCAGCAGAGGGGGAGAGAGAAUCCCCAGCAGGCUCUGUGCUGUCAGCACAAAGUGCAAUGCAGGGCUCGAUGAUGAACUGUGAGAUCAUGAGCUGAGCCAAAAUCAGGAGUCAAAUGCUAAACUGACCACCCAGGUGCCCCAAGGGUAUAUGGACAUUUUAACAAUAUUAAUUCUUCUAAUCCAUGAGCAUGGUAUAUCUUUCCAUUGUUCAUGUUGCUUUGCAAUUUAUUUUAUCAUUGUUUUGUAGUUUUCAGAGUACAGGUCUUUCACUCCCUUGGUUAAGUUUAUUCCUAGGGGUUUUGUGUGUGUGUGUGUGGGGGGGAGGGUAUAAUUAUAAAUGGGAUUUUUAAAAAUUUCUCUUUCUGCUAUUUUGUUAUUAGUAUAUAAAAAUGCAACAGAUUUAUGUGUAUUAAUUUUGUAUCCUGCAACUUUACUGAAUUCAUGUAUUACUUUUAACAGUAUUUUUUGGUGGACAUUUUGGGGUUUUCUUUGUAUAGUGUCAUGUCAUCCAAAAAUAGUGACAAUUUUACUUCUUCCUUACCAAUUCAGUUGCCUUUUAUUUCUUUUUCUUGUCUGAUUGCUGUGGCUAGGACUUCCAGUACUAUGUUGAAUAAAAUUUUGAGAAUGGACAUCUUUGUCUUGUUCUUAAUCUUAGAGGAAAAACCCUCAGUAUCUUACCAUAGCCAUCUAUGUUUUAACAAGCCCUCUAGGGGCACCUGGGUGGCUCAGUCAGUUAAGUGUCCGACUUUGGCUCGGGUCAUGAUCUCAUGUUUGUGGGUUUGAACCCUACAUCAGGCUCUGUGCUGACAGCUCAGGGACUGAAGCCUGCUUUAGAUUCUGUAUCUCCCUCUCUCUCUGCUCCUCCCCUGCUUGUGUUCUGUCUCUGUUUCUCAAAAAGUAAAAUAAAAAAUGUAAAAAACAAAACAAAACAAAACCCACAAGCCCUCCGGGCAGUUCCUGUACGUGCUAAGGUUUGAAAACCACUGGUUUAGAUAGUUCUGAAUUUAUUGAUUUAGGGUAUCCAUGUAUCUUUCAAUUAAUUGAUUAAGUAAUUGAUUCUAGUCAUACUUGUUGAACUCCUGCUAGGUGCUAAGCACAGGGGAUACAAUGGUAAGACACUACCUCUACUCUACAUGACCGAAUACUGUUCUUGCACUCACUGGAUCACUCAGUGUUUUCAGGAAGGCUGCCCACAUAAACAGGUUAUGCAAAAAUGUAGUUGUGAAUAGCUAUUGUGCGAGCCCAGGGCUGAGGACUAAACACAGAUAUUCAUCCUAAACCUGAAACAGGUAAUCAUUAUUUCCAGGCUGAGCUGAGAAAAAUCCUAUAGAACCACUAUGGUUUGAAUAAAGGAGAUGAUGAGAUAGCAGAGUGGGUAGAAAUGUGUUGAGCAACUUUUUGUACAGAUGGGGAAGAAUCCAUUUCUACUCUGGUCCCUAAAUUCAAUGUCCCAUCGCUGAGCCAAGGACACUCUUAUCCUUAUAUUAUCCUUAUCCUUAUCUUUUUUUGUAUGGAUGUGAUUAUAAGGCAAGGUAUAUGUCAUUUAUCAUUUGGUGUGAAAGAAAAAUCUAUGAGAUUAAAAAGUUUGUAAUGGGCAAUUUCAAAUAUACAUGAAAGUAGAGAGAAUUGUAUCCUAAACCCCUAUAUACUUAAAAUCCAACUUUUGACCUAGUCGGUGUGAGGACCAGUAAGAUCAUGUAGGCAAAGCCUUUAGCUGAGAGCCUUACUCUCAGUAAACUUUCAAUAAUGACUUGUCGUACCAGUCAGGGUUCAAAAAAAAAAGCAGAACCACUCACUGGAGAUUUGCUAUAGGGAUUUGAUCUAAUGCAAUCGUGGAGGCUGAUUUCAGUCUGUGAGGCUGUUGCCUUUGUGCCUGUUGAUAGGACCCGAAGUCAGUAGGACAUGCUGGAACGCGCAUCA